This 169-nucleotide ribosomal RNA is filed under the name Acarichthys heckelii (threadfin acara). RNAcentral's name for it is "partial 12S rRNA". The record is from RNAcentral. Lineage: Eukaryota; Metazoa; Chordata; Actinopteri; Cichliformes; Cichlidae.
CACCGCGGUUAUACGAGAGGCCCAAGUUGACGGACAUCGGCGUAAAGAGUGGUUAAGGAAAACCUUCAACUAAAGUCGAACGCUCUCAAGACUGUCGUACGUUUCCGAGAGUAUGAAGCCCCACCACGAAAGUGACUUUACCUCACCUGACUCCACGAAAGCUGCGAAA